Molecule: non-coding RNA, 47 nt
Organism: Anolis carolinensis (green anole)
Lineage: Eukaryota; Metazoa; Chordata; Lepidosauria; Squamata; Anolidae
Source: Rfam
ACCCAGGCUUUCCUCAAAGCCCCCCAAAUUACUCCUAAAAGUAAACU